RNAcentral lists this ribosomal RNA (253 nucleotides) under uncultured bacterium. Its description in RNAcentral is "partial 16S ribosomal RNA". It matches the Rfam family "Bacterial small subunit ribosomal RNA", at positions 524 to 776 of the family's 1533-position model. The record is from RNAcentral.
UACGUAGGUGGCAAGCGUUGUCCGGAAUUACUGGGUGUAAAGCGCGUGUAGGCGGCAGACCAAGUCGGCGGUGAAAGCGCCCGGCUCAACUGGGCGAGGUCCGUGGAAACUGGUCAGCUGGAGGACGGUAGAGGCGAGUGGAAUUCCCGGUGUAGUGGUGAAAUGCGUAGAGAUCGGGAGGAACACCAGUAGCGAAGGCGGCUCGCUGGGCCAUUCCUGACGCUGAGACGCGAAAGCUAGGGGAGCGAACAGG